Molecule: non-coding RNA, 86 nt
Organism: Triticum aestivum (bread wheat)
Lineage: Eukaryota; Viridiplantae; Streptophyta; Magnoliopsida; Poales; Poaceae
Source: Rfam
AUGGUACUCCCUCCGUCCCAAAAUAAGUGUCUCAACUUUGUACUAACUCGCUUGAGACACUUAUUUUGGGACGGAGGGAGUAUCUG